AAUGAACGCUGGCGGCGUGCCUAACACAUGCAAGUCGGAUGUGCCGCAAGGUGCAUGGCAGACGGGUGAGUAACGCGUGGGGAAUCUACCUUUUUGUGGGGAAUAACGUUCCGAAAGGAAUGGUAAUACCGCAUGUGACCAUUGAUUGGGAUAUUGAUGGUGAAAGCUGGGGACCGCAAGGCCUAGCGCAAGAAGAGGAUCCUGCGUCUGAUUAGCUAGUUGGCGGGGUAAUGGCCCACCAAGGCAUCGAUCAGUAGCCGGCCUGAGAGGGUGAUCGGCCACACUGGAACUGAGACACGGUCCAGACUCCUACGGGAGGCA
This 321-nucleotide ribosomal RNA is filed under the name uncultured Acidobacteriota bacterium. Its description in RNAcentral is "bacterial SSU rRNA". It matches the Rfam family "Bacterial small subunit ribosomal RNA", at positions 29 to 350 of the family's 1533-position model. Lineage: Bacteria; Pseudomonadati; Acidobacteriota. The record is from RNAcentral.